This is a non-coding RNA of Brachypodium distachyon (stiff brome), 135 nucleotides long. The record is from Rfam. NCBI's taxonomy places the organism in Eukaryota, Viridiplantae, Streptophyta, Magnoliopsida, Poales, Poaceae.
AGUAUACUCCCUCCGUCUCAUAUUAAGUGUCACAACUUUAUCUAGAUAUGCAUGUGCUUACACACUAAAACUUAUUUAGAUACAUGCUUGUCUAAAUAAAAUUGUCAACUUAAUAUGGGACGGAGGGAGUAAAAA